AGGAUUUUUAAAGAAAAGAAAGUUGUGGACAAAAACUACAUACAGGUGCUAAAAAUAAAGCCUCUUUUGCAACCCAGAACUCAUUGCUCAGUAUGAGUUUGAUACAUAUAAGAAAGAACAUG
This 122-nucleotide small nucleolar RNA is filed under the name Myotis davidii. Its description in RNAcentral is "Small nucleolar RNA SNORA40". It matches the Rfam family "Small nucleolar RNA SNORA40". From Rfam's summary of the family: The snoRNA ACA 40 belongs to the H/ACA family of snoRNAs and guides the pseudouridylation of 28S rRNA subunit at position U4565. Lineage: Eukaryota; Metazoa; Chordata; Mammalia; Chiroptera; Vespertilionidae. The record is from Rfam by way of RNAcentral.